Non-coding RNA from Bos taurus (domestic cattle), 110 nucleotides. The record is from Rfam. Lineage: Eukaryota; Metazoa; Chordata; Mammalia; Artiodactyla; Bovidae.
GACUACGGCCAUACCACCCUGAACGCACCCGAUCUUGUCUGAUCUCAGAAGCUAAGCAGGGUUGGGCCUGGUUAGUUCUUGGAUGGGAGAAGUACUUAGUGCAGACUUCG